This 882-nucleotide ribosomal RNA is filed under the name Phaeocollybia californica. RNAcentral's name for it is "eukaryotic LSU rRNA". It matches the Rfam family "Eukaryotic large subunit ribosomal RNA", at positions 73 to 941 of the family's 3401-position model. The record is from RNAcentral. Lineage: Eukaryota; Fungi; Basidiomycota; Agaricomycetes; Agaricales; Phaeocollybiaceae.
GAUUCCCCUAGUAACUGCGAGUGAAGAGGGAAAAGCUCAAAUUUAAAAUCUGGCUUCCUUAGGUUGUCCGAGUUGUAAUCUAGAGAAGCGUCAUCCGCGCUGGACCGUGUACAAGUCUCCUGGAACGGAGCGUCAUAGAGGGUGAGAAUCCCGUCUUCGACACGGACUACCGGGGCUUUGUGAUGCGCUCUCAAAGAGUCGAGUUGUUUGGGAAUGCAGCUCAAAAUGGGUGGUAAAUUCCAUCUAAAGCUAAAUAUUGGCGAGAGACCGAUAGCGAACAAGUACCGUGAGGGAAAGAUGAAAAGAACUUUGGAAAGAGAGUUAAACAGUACGUGAAAUUGCUGAAAGGGAAACGCUUGAAGUCAGUCGCGUUGGUCGAGAAUCAGCCUUGCUUUUGCAUGGCUUAUUUCGCGGUUCAACGGGUCAGCAUCAAUUUUGACCAUUGGAUAAAGAUGAGAGGAAUGUAGCAUCUUCGGAUGUGUUAUAGCCUCUUGUUGCAUGCAGUGGUUGGGAUUGAGGAACUCAGCACGCCGCAAGGCCGGGAGCAAUCCACGUUCGUGCUUAGGAUGCUGGCAUAAUGGCUUUAAUCGACCCGUCUUGAAACACGGACCAAGGAGUCUAACAUGCCUGCAAGUGUUUGGGUGUAAAACCCAUGCGCGCAAUGAAAGUGAAAGUUGAGAUCCCUGUCGUGGGGAGCAUCGACGCCCGGACCAGACCUUUUGUGACGGAUCCGCGGUAGAGCAUGUAUGUUGGGACCCGAAAGAUGGUGAACUAUGCCUGAAUAGGGUGAAGCCAGAGGAAACUCUGGUGGAGGCUCGUAGCGAUUCUGACGUGCAAAUCGAUCGUCAAAUUUGGGUAUAGGGGCGAAAGACUAAUCGAACC